AAUGAAGAACGCAGCGAAAUGCGAUAAGUAAUGUGAAUUGCAGAAUUCAGUGAAUCAUCGAAUCUUUGAACGCACCUUGCACCCUUUGGCAUUCCGAAGGGUAUGCUCGUUUGAGUGUCAUUGUACUCUCACACUUCCAAUUCUUUGGAUUGGGAGCGGUGGACUUGGGUGCUGCUGCUUACCGUGGCUCACCUCAAAUGUGUUAGUGCAACUCUUGGUUGGACAUAGUACGGCGUGAUAAGUGUCUUCGCCGGCGCCUCUGUAAGGAGGGUGGCCGAUCGGGAGCUCUGUGCUUCAAACCGUCUUCGGACAAUCUUUGACAACUUGACCUCAAAUCGAGUAGGACUACCCGCUGAACUUAAGCAUAUCAAUAAGCGGAGGA
RNAcentral lists this unclassified non-coding RNA (382 nucleotides) under soil metagenome. RNAcentral describes it as "partial contains 5.8S ribosomal RNA, internal transcribed spacer 2, and large subunit ribosomal RNA". The stretch from base 2 to 120 matches the Rfam family "5.8S ribosomal RNA", at positions 36 to 154 of the family's 154-position model. The record is from RNAcentral.